AGCGUCAUGUAGGGAUGGCACAAAAGCUGUUUGCAUCGUUUAUAUUCUAGUUGUCUCUUUUAUAUAUAUAGGCCGGUAAAUAUCUGGAUUAUUCUCGGCAUCUCACUCGAUGGAACUAAAUUUGAAGGAUUUUGUAGGAGUGUAAAUUUUAUACAUGAUUUGAACCUAACCAAGAACAGUAUACUAAGCUCUCUGGUAGGAAUCGUGCUUUUUACGUUCUAUUUAUCUUGGAGUAAACUAUAGGAGGCAAAACGUUGAGG
This is a non-coding RNA of Paramuricea clavata, 260 nucleotides long. NCBI's taxonomy places the organism in Eukaryota, Metazoa, Cnidaria, Anthozoa, Malacalcyonacea, Plexauridae. The record is from the annotation of a GenBank genome assembly.